UCAAAGUGCAAAUUUGACGGCGACCCCCAGUUGGGUCCGGGGCUUCUCCCC
This 51-nucleotide transfer RNA is filed under the name Sphaerodactylus glaucus. RNAcentral's name for it is "partial tRNA-Cys". The record is from RNAcentral. Lineage: Eukaryota; Metazoa; Chordata; Lepidosauria; Squamata; Sphaerodactylidae.